UGGGGAAUUUUGGACAAUGGGCGCAAGCCUGAUCCAGCCAUGCCGCGUGCAGGAUGAAGGCCCUCGGGCUGUAAACUGCUUUUGUACGGAACGAAAAGCCUCUUUCUAAUAAAGAGGGGUGAUGACGGUACCGUAAGAAUAAGCACCGGCUAACUACGUGCCAGCAGCCGCGGUAAUACGUAGGGUGCGAGCGUUAAUCGGAAUUACUGGGCGUAAAGCGUGCGCAGGCGGUCUUGCAAGACAGUGGUGAAAUCCCCGGGCUCAACCUGGGAACUGCCACUGUGACUGCAAGGCUGGAGUACGGCAGAGGGGGAUGGAAUUCCGCGUGUAGCAGUGAAAUGCGUAGAUAUGCGGAGGAACACCGAUGGCGAAGGCGGUCCCCUGGGCCUGUACUGACGCUCAUGCACGAAAGCGUGGGGAGCAAACA
Molecule: ribosomal RNA, 427 nt
Filed under: uncultured bacterium
Lineage: Bacteria
Description: bacterial SSU rRNA
Rfam family: Bacterial small subunit ribosomal RNA
Source: RNAcentral